RNAcentral lists this ribosomal RNA (497 nucleotides) under uncultured bacterium. Its description in RNAcentral is "partial 16S ribosomal RNA". It matches the Rfam family "Bacterial small subunit ribosomal RNA", at positions 28 to 507 of the family's 1533-position model. The record is from RNAcentral.
GAUGAACGCUGGCGGCGUGCCUAAUACAUGCAAGUCGAGCGAACAGACGAGGAGCUUGCUCCUCUGACGUUAGCGGCGGACGGGUGAGUAACACGUGGAUAACCUACCUAUAAGACUGGGAUAACUUCGGGAAACCGGAGCUAAUACCGGAUAACAUGUUGAACCGCAUGGUUCAACAGUGAAAGACGGUCUUGCUGUCACUUAUAGAUGGAUCCGCGCCGCAUUAGCUAGUUGGUAAGGUAACGGCUUACCAAGGCAACGAUGCGUAGCCGACCUGAGAGGGUGAUCGGCCACACUGGAACUGAGACACGGUCCAGACUCCUACGGGAGGCAGCAGUAGGGAAUCUUCCGCAAUGGGCGAAAGCCUGACGGAGCACCGCCGCGUGAGUGAUGAAGGUCUUCGGAUCGUAAAACGCUGUUAUUAGGGAAGAACAAAUGUGUAAGUAACUAUGCACGUCUUGACGGUACCUAAUCAGAAAGCCACGGCUAACUACGUG